This 460-nucleotide ribosomal RNA is filed under the name uncultured bacterium. RNAcentral's name for it is "partial 16S ribosomal RNA". It matches the Rfam family "Bacterial small subunit ribosomal RNA", at positions 338 to 795 of the family's 1533-position model. The record is from RNAcentral.
CCUACGGGAGGCUGCAGUGAGGAAUAUUGGUCAAUGGACGAGAGUCUGAACCAGCCAAGUAGCGUGAAGGAUGACUGCCCUAUGGGUUGUAAACUUCUUUUAUAUGGGAAUAAAACGUUCCACGUGUGGGAUUUUGUAUGUACCAUCUGAAUAAGGAUCGGCUAACUCCGUGCCAGCAGCCGCGGUAAUACGGAGGAACCGAGCGUUAUCCGGAUUUAUUGGGUUUAAAGGGAGCGUAGGUGGAUUGUUAAGUCAGUUGUGAAAGUUUGCGGCUCAACCGUAAAAUUGCAGUUGAAACUGGCAGUCUUGAGUACAGUAGAGGUGGGCGGAAUUCGUGGUGUAGCGGUGAAAUGCUUAGAUAUCACGAAGAACUCCGAUUGCGAAGGCAGUUCACUGGACUGCAACUGACACUGAGGCUCGAAAGUGUGGGUAUCAAACAGGAUUAGAUACCCUUGUAGUC